AGAAACUUAGGAUAUAUUUUAAACCAGAGGCCUUCAAAGCCCCCAAAAAGAGUUCUAACCUCUUAGUUUCUG
This 72-nucleotide transfer RNA is filed under the name Chamaeleo zeylanicus (Indian chameleon). RNAcentral's name for it is "tRNA-Trp". It matches the Rfam family "tRNA". Rfam says of the family: Transfer RNA (tRNA) molecules are approximately 80 nucleotides in length. Lineage: Eukaryota; Metazoa; Chordata; Lepidosauria; Squamata; Chamaeleonidae. The record is from RNAcentral.